AACACGUGAGUAACCUGCCCUUGACUCUGGAAUAAGCCUGGUAAACUGGGCCUAAUACCGGAUAUGACUCCUCCUCGCAUGGCGGGGGGUGGAAAGGUUUUUGUGGUUUUGGAUGGACUCGCGGACUAUCCUGUUGUUGGUGAGGUAAUGGNUCACCAAAGGGACUACCGGUAGCCGGCCUGAGAGGGUGACCGGCCACACUGGGACUGAGACACNGACCAAACUCCUACCGGAGGCAGCANUGGGGAAUAUUGCACAAUGGGCGCCAGCCUGAUGCAACGACUCCGCGAGAGGGAUGACGGGCUUCGNGUUGGAAACCUCUUUCAAAAGGGAAGAAGCCAAAGAGAAAGUACCUGCAGAAGAACUGCCGGCUAACUACNUGCCACUGACCACAAAAAUACGGAUGGCGCAAGCGUUAUCCGGAAUUAUUGACCGUAAAGAGCUCGUAUGCGGUUUGUCAUGGCUGCCGAGAAAGUCCGGGGCUCAUCUCCGGAUCUGCNGUGGAAACNGGAAGACUANAUUGAUGUAGGGGAGACUGGAAU
Molecule: ribosomal RNA, 542 nt
Filed under: Micrococcineae bacterium CNRC17
Lineage: Bacteria; Bacillati; Actinomycetota; Actinomycetes; Micrococcales
Description: bacterial SSU rRNA
Rfam family: Bacterial small subunit ribosomal RNA
Source: RNAcentral